RNAcentral lists this ribosomal RNA (275 nucleotides) under uncultured prokaryote. RNAcentral describes it as "partial 16S ribosomal RNA". It matches the Rfam family "Bacterial small subunit ribosomal RNA", at positions 524 to 798 of the family's 1533-position model. The record is from RNAcentral.
UACGGAGGAUCCGAGCGUUAUCCGGAUUUAUUGGGUUUAAAGGGUGCGCAGGCGGGAAAUUAAGUCGGCGGUGAAAUUUUGCGGCUCAACCGUAAAAGUGCCUUCGAUACUGGUUUCCUUGAGUGUGGAUGAAGUAGGCGGAAUUUGUGGUGUAGCGGUGAAAUGCAUAGAUAUCACGAGGAACUCCGAUCGCGUAGGCAGCUUACUAAACCAUAACUGACGCUCAUGCACGAAGGCGUGGGGAUCAAACAGGAUUAGAUACCCUGGUAGUCCCU